Molecule: non-coding RNA, 47 nt
Organism: Ictidomys tridecemlineatus (thirteen-lined ground squirrel)
Lineage: Eukaryota; Metazoa; Chordata; Mammalia; Rodentia; Sciuridae
Source: Rfam
CCAAAGGCUCUUCUGAGAGCCUUCAUAUAUAUGGGAAAACUUGCAGU